UUUCAAACCAUCAUCCACAGAUGGGGCAGGCGGGAGCUUGCCUGCUCUUCAUCCAGAUGACACUGAUUUUCUGAGUUACACUUGACACCAAGACUAUUACAGAUCUGAUCACUUGAAAACAAACCCUUCUGUCCUUCCCUGGCAAGAUUCUUCUUCCACUCCCCUCUCACUUAGUCCAAACAUCCCUCGCAGAACCAAUGACGGCACUAUUCUGUUGCCACUGUCCCAGAACUUUGUAUCACUAUUCCAAUUUCUCCUUUUUCAAAACACUUCCACACAUCCUAUACUAUCUUAUCUUUACAACAAAUUCUGAGGAGCCGAGUUACAGAGGAGGAAACACCGUGCUUAAAAUGUGCUCAAAGCCACACUGAGUAGAACCCAGUUCUUCCUCUUGAUCCUAAUGAGGGAGAAAGGAGCUGUAGAUGCUUUCUUAAGUGACCUGCAGAAAAAGGGAGGCUCUUGGGCCUGAAGUUUAAAGAAAUAAGUGAAGGAGGUCAAAAGGAAGAUCAGCCCUGAGCUAACAUCUGCUGCCAAUCCUCCUCUUUUUGCUGAGGAAGCCUGGCCCUGAGCUAACAUCUGUGCUCAUCUUCCUCUACUUUAAAUGUGGGACACCUACCACAGCAUGGCUUGCCAAGCAGUGCCAUGUCUGCAUCCAGGAUCCAAACCGGUGAACCCUGGGCUACCAAAGUGGAACGUGCGCACUAACCAUGGUGCAACCUGGCCAGCCCCUCCUUCUCCAUUUUUAGUAGAUUAAUAGCAAAUCACCUACUUCUUGUAUAAUUCUCAAACAAGGCCAAAAAAUAAA
RNAcentral lists this long non-coding RNA (805 nucleotides) under Equus asinus (donkey). RNAcentral describes it as "lncRNA (ENSEASG00005030764.1, ENSEASG00020027958.1)". Lineage: Eukaryota; Metazoa; Chordata; Mammalia; Perissodactyla; Equidae. The record is from RNAcentral.